Molecule: ribosomal RNA, 307 nt
Filed under: uncultured bacterium
Lineage: Bacteria
Description: bacterial SSU rRNA
Rfam family: Bacterial small subunit ribosomal RNA
Source: RNAcentral
GACGAACGCUGGCGGCGUGCCUAACACAUGCAAGUCGAACGGGGUAAAGAGCUUCGGUUCUUUACUUAGUGGCGAACGGGUGAGUAACGCGUGAGAAACCUGCCUUUCAGUGGGGGACAACAGUUGGAAACGACUGCUAAUACCGCAUAAUGUUAUUUGAGGGCAUCCUCGGAUAACCAAAGAUUUAUUGCUGAAAGAUGGUCUCGCGUCUGAUUAGAUAGUUGGUGGGGUAACGGCCUACCAAGUCGACGAUCAGUAGCCGACCUGAGAGGGUGAUCGGCCACAUUGGGAUUGAGACACGGCCCAA